This 254-nucleotide long non-coding RNA is filed under the name Lathyrus oleraceus (garden pea). Its description in RNAcentral is "Pisum sativum (pea) long non-coding RNA (PSAT_LNC027998)". The record is from RNAcentral. Lineage: Eukaryota; Viridiplantae; Streptophyta; Magnoliopsida; Fabales; Fabaceae.
UGAUUUCAUUCGGAUAUACGUGAAACCUCCGAUUGUAUCUAUCUUAUUGCAAGAACUCCAAGUUCUCCAAAAUUCUAGAUCGGCUGACUUCAAUCGCAAGACGCUUGAACCCAAACCUUUCUUCAUAAUCCUCCUAUUACCGUUUCUUGUUUGAACGAACCUGCCAUUCUUCAAAUCUUUCACUCGGCUGAAUCUAUGAAGCAAAGAUUUGUACAAAACCCUCAAAUUCUUGGAGGACAAAACCCAACGAUUUU